UGAGCAACCUACCGAAAUGUGGGGGAUAGCCGGCCUAACGGCCGAGUAAUACCGCGUACGACCACUUUGGGACAUCCCUGGGUGGUGAAAGCAGCAAUGCGCCGAUGGGGUGCCUCGCGGCCUAUCAGCUAGUUGGUGAGGUAACGGCUCACCAAGGCGACGACGGGUAGCUGGU
This 175-nucleotide ribosomal RNA is filed under the name uncultured bacterium. RNAcentral's name for it is "partial 16S ribosomal RNA". It matches the Rfam family "Bacterial small subunit ribosomal RNA", at positions 118 to 291 of the family's 1533-position model. The record is from RNAcentral.